Molecule: ribosomal RNA, 1565 nt
Filed under: Ligilactobacillus salivarius
Lineage: Bacteria; Bacillati; Bacillota; Bacilli; Lactobacillales; Lactobacillaceae
Description: bacterial SSU rRNA
Rfam family: Bacterial small subunit ribosomal RNA
Source: RNAcentral
GCUUAGAGUUUGAUCCUGGCUCAGGACGAACGCUGGCGGCGUGCCUAAUACAUGCAAGUCGAACGAAACUUUCUUACACCGAAUGCUUGCAUUCACCGUAAGAAGUUGAGUGGCGGACGGGUGAGUAACACGUGGGUAACCUGCCUAAAAGAAGGGGAUAACACUUGGAAACAGGUGCUAAUACCGUAUAUCUCUAAGGAUCGCAUGAUCCUUAGAUGAAAGAUGGUUCUGCUGUCGCUUUUAGAUGGACCCGCGGCGUAUUAACUAGUUGGUGGGGUAACGGCCUACCAAGGUGAUGAUACGUAGCCGAACUGAGAGGUUGAUCGGCCACAUUGGGACUGAGACACGGCCCAAACUCCUACGGGAGGCAGCAGUAGGGAAUCUUCCACAAUGGACGCAAGUCUGAUGGAGCAACGCCGCGUGAGUGAAGAAGGUCUUCGGAUCGUAAAACUCUGUUGUUAGAGAAGAACACGAGUGAGAGUAACUGUUCAUUCGAUGACGGUAUCUAACCAGCAAGUCACGGCUAACUACGUGCCAGCAGCCGCGGUAAUACGUAGGUGGCAAGCGUUGUCCGGAUUUAUUGGGCGUAAAGGGAACGCAGGCGGUCUUUUAAGUCUGAUGUGAAAGCCUUCGGCUUAACCGGAGUAGUGCAUUGAAACUGGAAGACUUGAGUGCAGAAGAGGAGAGUGGAACUCCAUGUGUAGCGGUGAAAUGCGUAGAUAUAUGGAAGAACACCAGUGGCGAAAGCGGCUCUCUGGUCUGUAACUGACGCUGAGGUUCGAAAGCGUGGGUAGCAAACAGGAUUAGAUACCCUGGUAGUCCACGCCGUAAACGAUGAAUGCUAGGUGUUGGAGGGUUUCCGCCCUUCAGUGCCGCAGCUAACGCAAUAAGCAUUCCGCCUGGGGAGUACGACCGCAAGGUUGAAACUCAAAGGAAUUGACGGGGGCCCGCACAAGCGGUGGAGCAUGAGGUUUAAUUCGAAGCAACGCGAAGAACCUUACCAGAUCUUGACAUCCUUUGACCACCUAAGAGAUUAGGCUUUCCUUCGGGGACAAAGUGACAGGUGGUGCAUGGCUGUCGUCAGCUCGUGUCGUGAGAUGUUGGGUUAAGUCCCGCAACGAGCGCAACCCUUGUUGUCAGUUGCCAGCAUUAAGUUGGGCACUCUGGCGAGACUGCCGGUGACAAACCGGAGGAAGGUGGGGACGACGUCAAGUCAUCAUGCCCCUUAUGACCUGGGCUACACACGUGCUACAAUGGACGGUACAACGAGUCGCGAGACCGCGAGGUUUAGCUAAUCUCUUAAAGCCGUUCUCAGUUCGGAUUGUAGGCUGCAACUCGCCUACAAUGAGUCGGAAUCGCUAGUAAUCGCGAAUCAGCAUGUCGCGGUGAAUACGUUCCCGGGCCUUGUACACACCGCCCGUCGCACCAUAGAGAUUUGUAACACCCAAAGCCGGUGGGGUAACCGCAAGGAGCCAGCCGUCUAAGGUGGGACAGAUGAUUGGGGUGAAGUCGUAACAAGGUAGCCGUAGGAGAAGUGCGGCUGGAUCACCUCCUUGUCGACGCGU